AUCCCUUACCACAAGUGUAGUAUCUGUUCUUAUCAGUUUAGUAUCUGAUAUGCCCCCUAUCCGAGGAGAGUAUAUUAAAUGGAUCUUUGGGAUUAGGAGAUGGAAUAGGAGCUUGCUCCGUCCACUCCACACAUUGCAGUACCUCCACGAACGGUGCACUAAAA
RNAcentral lists this small nuclear RNA (164 nucleotides) under Echinops telfairi (small Madagascar hedgehog). Its description in RNAcentral is "U2 spliceosomal RNA (ENSETEG00000024220.1)". It matches the Rfam family "U2 spliceosomal RNA". Rfam says of the family: U2 is a small nuclear RNA (snRNA) component of the spliceosome (involved in pre-mRNA splicing). Complementary binding between U2 snRNA (in an area lying towards the 5' end but 3' to hairpin I) and the branchpoint sequence (BPS) of the intron results the bulging out of an unpaired adenosine, on the BPS, which initiates a nucleophilic attack at the intronic 5' splice site, thus starting the first of two transesterification reactions that mediate splicing. The record is from RNAcentral. Lineage: Eukaryota; Metazoa; Chordata; Mammalia; Afrosoricida; Tenrecidae.